UGUAACAAAACACCUGCAGCUGGCCUCUGCCAAGGCUUGUCUACAUGUACUGGAGCAUCAACGCUGCGGCGACUGAUGCAUCGGCGGUCGAUUUAAAUUUACCACCAAUGGCUCUCCCGUCAACUCCUGUACUCCACCUGAUUGAGAAGAGUAAGGUGGCAAUCCAAGUUACGUCAAAUGCUCACUGAACUUCAGGUGGAAUUACACAUGACAUGGUGAAGAGCCACCUGAACCCCACCAAAGAUCCUUCAAGAUGGGAGAAGCUGAUCGGGUUACAAAAAGGGCAGAGGGAACCCAACUGUGGUGGAACAGAAGAUGAGGAGACUAAACUGGUUUUAGACUGCUGUGGCAUUCUUAGUCUGAGCUAUGAAAACUUUGGGAAAAAUAUGAAGACCGUGCAAUUGUUGUGACUGCUUUUAUCAUCAGUCUCAAGACGAGCCUCUCCAUGUGCUCAUUUUCAGGCGCUUUCUACCUCUCUCACCUUUUGGAUACAUGGCAGGAAGUUUGGAUACAUGGCAGACGUCAGAUUUCGUAAUCAGAUUUUGACACUAAAUGGAAUUUAGCCACUUUUACAUUGAGAAUAUGUUUGACAUCAUUCAGUCUUUCAAUAGAAACAGUUCAUAUUCAUUGCAAACUCAAAGCAUCUUUCAAGUUAAAAAAAUGGCAAAGAAUGGUUAUCAAAGAAAAUGAAUAAAAUCCAUAUUGAGAUAAUUUUUUAGAAAAUGAUUGAAGUUUUAACCCAAGAAAGGACUCUUAGAGUUUCUUAUAGCUUAGAAUAAGAACAUGUCAAUCACGAUUAAGCUUCUGGAAUCGGAAUCCCUUUGAAAUGCAGCUGUUUCUUCUUUAAUUGUGGCAGCGGACUCAAAAGAAAAGAAAGGUCCAGCCUUAAAGAUGAGUAAGGAAUACAAAAUAGCUCAGGAUUAGUUGUGGAGUUCAAAGGUCACUAAUUACACUAAGGAGUUCCCAGACACAGGGAAAACAUUAAACAGGUCACCUACCAAAUGGGAAACAGACUUUGUCUUCAAAAAAAUUAUCCUGAAGAGAUAGGUUUCUAGACAAAAUCAAAAUGCGUCACACAGUGAGACCAGCUGAUCUCAAUGGGAUGAGAACUGGAAUUGGUUUUAGUUCUCUACUGUUAUGGAUGGCUACAGAUACCAUGAAGAUUAACAAAAAUUGUCGAGAUUUCACCCAGCUUUCUAGAAUGCUCUAUUAAGGCAGAGGGAAAGGCCUUAGCAUGAAAAAGAUGAUUUUUACUUACUGCCCUUGAUCUGCCUCAGUGAAAUACAAACCACCUCUAAGAUCAAUUGCUGACCUCGGCACUUGGCUCAUUUCAUUUUACUGAAAUGCCUAGAAAAUUGUUCAGCUGGUAGAGAAACAUUAGCCUAGCCUGUCAGAUGACUCUGCUGAUAGCGUUAUCACACAAGAGAUGCUCGUUCAGGAAUGACCUCAGGGGGAGUCUUUCUUCAGCCAAUGGGGGCUAGAAUCAGCUUGAGGGUAAUGGUUUCCCUCAAGGUCUCUUCCCAAGAGAAAAGUCCAAGGCACAUUGUUUGUUGGCACUCCCUAGCAGUUGAUCAAGUUGAGGAAUAAACUUCAACUGAGGAUGAAGACAGCUGUUCUGCUGCCCAGGUGUGUGCAGCAAGAAUUAGGAAAUCAUGAAAGGAAACGUAGUGACUAAGAAUGACAGUGGGUGGAAGCAACAGAGAGAUUUUAAUGACCAAGACCCAGAUUCAGCAAGGUACUUACACACAUACCUAACUUUAAGCACUGACUUCAGCUGGACAUGAGGAAUCCCAUUGAUUUCAGCUGAAAUCCAUGAGACUACUCACAUGUUUAAAGUCAGGUACAUGCUUAAGUACCUUGCUGAAUCAGGGCCCAAUGGUCCCUUGUUGUCAAAAACUACGAAGUGUCAUUGCAAAGAUCUACCAUGACAAGCUAUGCCUCAUUCCAAGUGGAAGGCCAUCCCUUCACUGGAAAACCUUAGAGCAUUCAGUUUAAGGGGGCGAGGGCAGGAGGAAAUCUCUCUCGCGCCUUAGUUUAUUGAUUAAUAAAGUCAUUUACAUGAGAACAGGAGCUAAUUCUUCAGUUCCCACUUGCCCACCUGAAGUCAUAGUCCUGUUCCUGAUAUUGCAAUCAGCGGAUCUUAGAGCAGAAACAGAUUUGUGGUUUCAUGGAAAUAAGAGAAGAGAAUUGCAGAAAAUCUGCUAGGUGCAUACCUCGGUGGUUUACAAGGAGCCCAUACUUGCCCUUGAAGUCAACUGAAUUUUUGCCAUUGACUUCUAUGGAGCUAGGUUAGGCCCCAAUUGUUUCAUUCUCCCUCCCCUGCACACUGUGUGAAUAACAGAGCAUUGUGUGGCAUAUUAAGAACUGGUGCCAGGGGAGCUAACCCAUAAAUAGGCUAUGGAGCUGCAAUGCAGCCCCUCUGUGGCAAUCAACUGUAAGAGCAAAUGCUGCAUCUCUUCUGCUGAGGUUUGGAGCUUCUGCUGUCACGGGUUACCCCCGGGGUGCCACUUGGAACUGGGGUACCGCUGAGCCCUCCUGACCCACCAGCCUGGGCUCCCUUUACACUACUGCUGAGGCAAGCCUGCCAAGUCCUUUUCCAAGCUUCAGACUACACUUUGCCAGCGCACACACAGGUAGGGACACACCCAGCUACAGCUACACACACAGAUGCUGAGAUCAGCUCUGCAUAGGAAGGCUCAGCUAAGGAACUGCCCAGUUACUCAAGUGCACACCCCCCUCUGGAGUGUAAACCCAACAUUAGACCGUCUUGCGCUGCACAGAGAAUUGUACAGUGUGAGCUCAUGAGAGUCGCCCUUUCCCUCAAUGUGGAGAGGAAUAUACACAGCUUUCUGCCCCACAGUUAUGAUUUCCACACACUGGUUUUAGACAAAACAAAAACAAGUUUAUUAACUACAAAAGAUAGAUUUUAAGUGAUUAUAAGGGAUAGCAAACAAAUCAAAGCAGAUUACCUAGCAAAUAAAACAAAA
Caretta caretta (loggerhead turtle) is the source of this 2987-nucleotide long non-coding RNA. RefSeq lists it as uncharacterized. Lineage: Eukaryota; Metazoa; Chordata; Testudines; Cheloniidae. The record is from RefSeq and is a predicted model, not a curated record.